Molecule: non-coding RNA, 197 nt
Organism: Oryza punctata
Lineage: Eukaryota; Viridiplantae; Streptophyta; Magnoliopsida; Poales; Poaceae
Source: Rfam
CUAUUUCGCAUUUCUAAGUUUUCGUGUUCAACUUUAAUCAUUCGUUUUAUUUAAAAAAAUUAUGAUUAGUAUUUUUUAUUAGAUGAUAAAAUAUUAAUAUUACUUUUUACGUGAUAUAUAUUUUUAAUUUUUUUAAAACUGUUUCAAAUAAGAUGAACGAUUAAAAUUAGACACGAAAACUCAUAUCUAUACUUAUA